This 501-nucleotide ribosomal RNA is filed under the name uncultured bacterium. Its description in RNAcentral is "bacterial SSU rRNA". It matches the Rfam family "Bacterial small subunit ribosomal RNA", at positions 23 to 518 of the family's 1533-position model. The record is from RNAcentral.
UACAGGACGAACGCUGGCGGCGUGCUUAACACAUGCAAGUCGAACGGGGAUAGCGUUGGAAGUCCUUCGGGGUGGAAGAUGCUAUUCGAGUGGCGGACGGGUGGGUAACGCGUGAACAAUCUGUCCCAGACAGGGGGAUAACACUUGGAAACAGGUGCUAAUACCGCAUAAGACCACGGUGUCGCAUGGCACAGGGGUAAAAGGAGCGAUCCGGUUUGGGGUGAGUUCGCGUCCGAUUAGCCAGUUGGCGGGGUAACGGCCCACCAAAGCGACGAUCGGUAGCCGAUCUGAGAGGAUGACCGGCCACAUUGGAACUGAGAGACGGUCCAAACUCCUACGGGAGGCAGCAGUGGGGAAUAUUGGGCAAUGGGCGAAAAAGCCUGACCCAGCAACGCCGCGUGAGUGAAGAAGGCCUUCGGGUUGUAAAGCUCUGUUAUAGGGGACGAAGGAAGUGACGGUACCCUAUAAGGAAGCCCCGGCUAACUACGUGCCAGCCGCCGC